GGGGGUGAAUUAGGCUCGACUUAGAUAAGCCGGGUAAAAGCAGCAUGCCGCGGACGCAGGGUUGGCCGCGUUAACAAUCCUUGCAAAAAAUAAACGCAAACAGACUAACGUCUGCUUCGGUAAACUCGCUUAGACCAGCAAUGGUCCCAGCGGGCGUACCGACGUUCGCAGUCCUUCCUCACUAAGCAGGAAGGCCUCAAUCCAGGGUUUGCCUGUGGCCUUGGUUUGAGCCGGUAACAGGCUGGUUUUCCGUUUUGCCUUUGGGCGGAAGACGAGAUGAUAAAAGGCUGCGGCUUCGGCAAUCCUGUUUACCGGAGUACCGAGGAUUAAGCAGAAAAGAUAAACUAAGCAUGUAGCGGCUCUUAUCCGAUUGUUUAAGGACGGCGGUGCGAUUCCGCCCACCUCCACCA
Molecule: transfer-messenger RNA, 410 nt
Filed under: Candidatus Omnitrophota
Lineage: Bacteria; Pseudomonadati
Also listed under: 2 other names
Description: JAMWCI01 sp023818655 Standard tmRNA
Rfam family: transfer-messenger RNA
About the family: Bacterial tmRNA, also known as 10Sa RNA or SsrA, is named for its dual tRNA and mRNA-like properties. Its role is to liberate the mRNA from a stalled ribosome. To accomplish this part of the tmRNA is used as a reading frame that ends in a translation stop signal.
Source: RNAcentral